RNAcentral lists this ribosomal RNA (497 nucleotides) under uncultured bacterium. RNAcentral's name for it is "partial 16S ribosomal RNA". It matches the Rfam family "Bacterial small subunit ribosomal RNA", at positions 28 to 507 of the family's 1533-position model. The record is from RNAcentral.
GAUGAACGCUGGCGGCGUGCCUAAUACAUGCAAGUCGAGCGAACAGAUGAGGAGCUUGCUCCUCUGACGUUAGCGGCGGACGGGUGAGUAACACGUGGAUAACCUACCUAUAAGACUGGGAUAACUUCGGGAAACCGGAGCUAAUACCGGAUAAUAUAUUGAACCGCAUGGUUCAAUAGUGAAAGACGGUUUUGCUGUCACUUAUAGAUGGAUCCGCGCCGCAUUAGCUAGUUGGUAAGGUAACGGCUUACCAAGGCAACGAUGCGUAGCCGACCUGAGAGGGUGAUCGGCCACACUGGAACUGAGACACGGUCCAGACUCCUACGGGAGGCAGCAGUAGGGAAUCUUCCGCAAUGGGCGAAAGCCUGACGGAGCAACGCCGGGUGAGUGAUGAAGGUCUUCGGAUCGUAAAACUCUGUUAGUAGGGAAGAACAAAUGUGUAAGUAACUAUGCACGUCUUGACGGUACCUAAUCAGAAAGCCACGGCUAACUACGUG